Molecule: ribosomal RNA, 301 nt
Filed under: uncultured bacterium
Lineage: Bacteria
Description: partial 16S ribosomal RNA
Rfam family: Bacterial small subunit ribosomal RNA
Source: RNAcentral
CAGUAGCCGCGGGAAUACAGAGGAUGCAAGCGUUAUCCGGAAUGAUUGGGCGUAAAGCGUCUGUAGGUGGCUUUUCAAGUCCGCCGUCAAAUCCCAGGGCUCAACCCUGGACAGGCGGUGGAAACUACCAAGCUGGAGUACGGUAGGGGCAGAGGGAAUUUCCGGUGGAGCGGUGAAAUGCGUAGAGAUCAGGAGGAACACCGAUGGCGAAGGCAGCCCCCUGGGCCUGUACUGACGCUCAAGCACGAAAGCGUGGGGAGCAAACAGGAUUAGAUACCCCAGUAGUCCCUGUCUCUUAUAC